This 254-nucleotide ribosomal RNA is filed under the name uncultured bacterium. RNAcentral describes it as "partial 16S ribosomal RNA". It matches the Rfam family "Bacterial small subunit ribosomal RNA", at positions 793 to 1055 of the family's 1533-position model. The record is from RNAcentral.
GUCCACGCCGUAAACGAUGGAUACUAGCUGUUGGGGGCAACUUCAGUGGCUAAGCGAAAGUGAUAAGUAUCCCACCUGGGGAGUACGAACGCAAGUUUGAAACUCAAAGGAAUUGACGGGGCCCGCACAAGCGGUGGAGCAUGUGGUUUAAUUCGAUGAUACGCGAGGAACCUUACCAAGGCUUAAAUGCAGACUGACCGAUUUGGAAACAGAUCUUUCGCAAGACAGUUUACAAGGUGCUGCAUGGUUGUCGU